Long non-coding RNA from Pyrus x bretschneideri (Chinese white pear), 2907 nucleotides. RefSeq lists it as uncharacterized. Lineage: Eukaryota; Viridiplantae; Streptophyta; Magnoliopsida; Rosales; Rosaceae. The record is from RefSeq and is a predicted model, not a curated record. The transcript has 11 exons.
GUUCUAGAGCAGUGUGCGGACCAAAAUGGCCCUCAAUUCGUUUGUUAAGUCAAUUUUUUGCCAUCUUUGCUACAGUGAAAUGGCAUCGCUACCCUCCUUUGCCACGCGUUUGUCGUCGAUGAUUUCAGAAGAGGGUAUCCCUUCUUCGUGGACUUCAACUUUUCUCUUUUCUGGACUCUUCUUUCCAAUUCUAUCUCUGUCUCACAAACCUUCUCUCAAUCCUGGCCUUGCUCUCCCAUCUCGAGUUCUCUCUGUGUCUCGCCUUUUUCCAAAAAAUGGUUAAGUCAGUAAAAUUUGUUUAGAUCCUUUUGUCGGAGGCUGCAGACGACAACCCUCGCUUGCUAAAAAAUAGUCAGUUUGGUCUCGAUUUGCAGAAAAUUUGGAGCGGAUCACGUUUCCUGCUGCCGAUUUGGAGAUCCGGUUUUUCGGGUUUCUGACAUUAAGCUGAAGUAACUAGAGUUGAGAAAUAACAAUUGGAGCUUAGAGUCUUUGCAUAUGAAAGUUGAAUAUGAGCCUUUGAAAGGCUUUGUAAACGUGUUCUCAAUUGUAGGGCAUUGGAUAGCAAUUUUGGGUUUUUAUAAAAAUUCACUUUCAAAGAUUGAGUAAAAAUAUAUAAAGGUUGUUGGUGAUCGGUAUAAAGACAAUAAAAAAGGGAUUGGUGGUUCUACUUUGGGUUGAGAAAGGAAAAAAAAAAAAAAAAGAAGACCAUUUUGUUGGCAAUCAAUAUAAAGACAUAAUACAAAAGGGUUGAGAGAUCAACACAGAAAGCGUAAGAAAUAGAUGAACAAAGCAGAUUGAGCUGAAUAAUCUCAAUCAAACAACAAUCAUAAUUCAACGCGCGGGCUCUAUUACUAGUAUAUACUAAAACUCAAACUCCCUGGUACUGUUCUAGAGCAGUAAAAUGGCGAAACAGCCCCUCAAAAUUUUUCGUCCUCUCCAUUUUGGUGUUGCCUUUCUACAGUAACAAGACCGUUUUGCCCUUAUGUUUCUACGUGUCUUUCAUCACUGGGUGCUUUGGCUUCGGUUGUUCUAGAUAUUUCUUUCCGUUUUCCUCUCUUGCAUACCUCGAGUUAGUUUGUUUGUCGCCGCCUAUUUCUCUUCGCCUGGGAUUCUAUUUUCUGUCGUUGUGCUGCUUCGUUGAUUUUGUUGUUCUUCGAUUACUUAUCAGAAUUGUUAAUUUCGGCCUUUUUAUGGUUCGAUUGGAAUUAUUUUUUGGCUGAUUUGAUCACUGUUUGCAAAAAUUUGUACCAAUUUGGUUUCGAUUGGAAUUUCUGGGCUCCUCUAAUCCAACAUUUCCAGGUGAGAAAGUUGCUUAAAUUUUGAUCUUUAUUGAACUCAGGUAAGCAUCUUCAGUAUUUCAGAUUGAUUUGAAGGAAUUUUUUGCCCAGAAAAGCUAGGGUUUUCUGAACCUGAUACUCGGUGACCUUUAGAGCAGCUUCAUUCUCUCUUCUUCUCCGACCAUGGUUGCUGAUCCACAGGGCAUCAAGAUCAUUUGAUGAGUAUGAAGGGUAGAAGUUGCGUAGAACCAGUUCAAGCUCUAAUCAUUUAGCAAUCAAAUAUCUUCAGUCAUAGGUUUGGGCCUUACCAUCUGUAUUUUAAUGUUUGUUUUAUACCAUUUCCUACAUUGUUUUGUUGUUUUAGGUUGUAGAUGAAAUGUAAAGUGUUAUUUAUUCCAAGUAAAAUUAAAAAGGAAACUAGGUCCCCUUCAAAAUGCAUGGAAUAAGCCUAUGGGUUAUUUAUUAUUGUUUAUUUUCUGUGUGCACGUCACUGUUUACUCACUUGGAGACUCGCUCCUAUCGUACACAAUUUUCAUGUACCUCCCUGUCUCUCUUCUAUCAAUUUUUGUAGUUCUACAUUUGUGUGUUCUGUUUGUUGAUCAAAUUUAAUGAAUUAGAUCGAUGGUUUUAAUUUUUUAAUACUAGUCAUGACUUUGGCAAUGAGAGGUCCAAAUGUUGCAUAUAUCAUCCAGAUUAGUUCGUCUGUGGAGCUAAUGGAAAGAUAAUGUCAUAACAAUGUUGUAUUGUUUUCUUGGAUGGAGAGUUGAUUGCCCUGUUUUUAUGUGUUUGGUAAUGCAGAUAUGAGAAUGUAAUUGUGGUGGAGAAUAUAGAGAAGAUGGUAGGAUCUUAUUUUCCAACAGAUAAGGGCAGUUUUUGGUUUUGGCAUUUAAGAUAUUUAAUUAGGGUUUCUCUUGCAAUUGUAGAAUUUGUUAAUUUUGGAAGCAUGAAUUAAAUGUUUGGGAUUAACUUACAAUGCUUCCUAUCAAAACCAAUCAAAACCAUUUUCUGAAUCUAAUGUUACAAUGUUGUGCACUCUCAUUGAUAAGCAGAUUUUCAUUAUGAUGAAUUUUCAGUCUUUCUCAAAAUCUCCAUAACUAAAAUUCAUGUGGCAUUCGGUGUGAAUUUUGUCGGAUUUGUCUCAUUGCAUUGUAUUGAUUUCUUGUAUUGUUACCAUGCCCAUCAAUUUUUCCUUUUUAUUCCUAACUGUUUUCACUUUCAAGGAAAAGAGGUUUCUUGUUUGAUGCCUUGCAGGAAAGCUGUGGUUUUGACAAUUAGGGCAAAUAAACGUCACUUAUGAAGAGGAUGAUUGCACCAUCCACCAAGUUGGAAAAGGAGGUGAAUCUUUGAUAUGGCAGAUCUGGAACUUUUACGUAUUGAUUUUAACCAACUCCUUUUUAGGUGUAAUUUUGGACUUAUUUUGUUUUGAAGUCGACUAUAUUUGUUUUAGCUUCUGAUGAGGUGCAAGGCUUGCUAGGGAAGAUGCAUUUGUCCAAAAAUGUCUGCUUUCAAGUUCUUUUUGCAUUAGAGAUGAAAUAUGUAACAUUACAAUAUAUGUUUCUGAGAUUGAGAAUGUGUUGUAGGCUUUCUACAUUUUAUGAAAAUUAAAAAAAAAAAAUAAUAAUUACCUCAA